CAUAGGUUAAUGAGGCGAACCGGGGGAACUGAAACAUCUAAGUACCCCGAGGAAAAGAAAUCAACCGAGAUUCCCCCAGUAGCGGCGAGCGAACGGGGAGGAGCCCAGAGCCUGAAUCAGCAUGUGUGUUAGUGGAAGCGUCUGGAAAGGCGCGCGAUACAGGGUGACAGCCCCGUACACAAAAGCGCAUGUGCUGUGAGCUCGAUGAGUAGGGCGGGACACGUGGUAUCCUGUCUGAAUAUGGGGGGACCAUCCUCCAAGGCUAAAUACUCCUGACUGACCGAUAGUGAACCAGUACCGUGAGGGAAAGGCGAAAAGAACCCCGGCGAGGGGAGUGAAAAAGAACCUGAAACCGUGUACGUACAAGCAGUGGGAGCCCCACCACUAAGCCAGUGGUGAACUCCACAUACGCAUCCUUUGCUGAGGAUACGGUUAACGGAGCGAAAGCGACGUUCAACCGCAAAAGAAGCAGAGGGGGCUUAGUGGUGGGGUGACUGCGUACCUUUUGUAUAAUGGGUCAGCGACUUAUAUUCUGUAGCAAGGUUAACCGAAUAGGGGAGCCGGAGGGAAACCGAGUCUUAAUUGGGCGUUAAGUUGCAGGGUAUAGACCCGAAACCCGGUGAUCUAGCCAUGGGCAGGUUGAAGGUUGGGUAACACUAACUGGAGGACCGAACCGACUAAUGUUGAAAAAUUAGCGGAUGACCUGUGGCUGGGGGUGAAAGGCCAAUCAAACCGGGAGAUAGCUGGUUCUCCCCGAAAGCUAUUUAGGUAGCGCCUCGUGAAUUCAUCUCCGGGGGUAGAGCACUGUUUCGGCUAGGGGGCCAUCCCGGCUUACCAACCCGAUGCAAACUGCGAAUACCGGAGAAUGUUAUCACGGGAGACACACGGCGGGUGCUAACGUCCGUCGUGAAGAGGGAAACAACCCAGACCGCCAGCUAAGGUCCCAAAGUCAUGGUUAAGUGGGAAACGAUGUGGGAAGGCCCAGACAGCCAGGAUGUUGGCUUAGAAGCAGCCAUCAUUUAAAGAAAGCGUAAUAGCUCACUGGUCGAGUCGGCCUGCGCGGAAGAUGUAACGGGGCUAAACCAUGCACCGAAGCUGCGGCAGCGACA
Molecule: ribosomal RNA, 1109 nt
Filed under: Salmonella enterica
Lineage: Bacteria; Pseudomonadati; Pseudomonadota; Gammaproteobacteria; Enterobacterales; Enterobacteriaceae
Description: partial 23S ribosomal RNA
Rfam family: Bacterial large subunit ribosomal RNA
Source: RNAcentral